This is a long non-coding RNA of Gigantopelta aegis, 301 nucleotides long. RefSeq lists it as uncharacterized. NCBI's taxonomy places the organism in Eukaryota, Metazoa, Mollusca, Gastropoda, Neomphalida, Peltospiridae. The transcript is spliced from 2 exons. The record is from RefSeq and is a predicted model, not a curated record.
GUAAUUUUCAUAAUGGAAUGACGUCAUUUUAUUGUGAUAACGUCCUAUGGCUUUUUUUAUUUUAAACCCAUGAAACGCCUACCGACAUGGUAUAUCGAUUUGUUGGAUCAUAACGGAAUCAGUAUAAUAAUCGGAGGACAUUUUGAAAUCGAGGCCCCUCUGUUGCAUGACGGGAAGGUGUUUCUCCUUUAUGAACAAUAGCUCUGCACAUUCCAGUUCUGUGAGACCACAAGUUGUCACGUGGAACGUAUGCAGAUCUGAAAGAGAAAACACAGAGAACUUAUUAAAUUUAUAUAUAUUC